Molecule: ribosomal RNA, 437 nt
Filed under: uncultured bacterium
Lineage: Bacteria
Description: partial 16S ribosomal RNA
Rfam family: Bacterial small subunit ribosomal RNA
Source: RNAcentral
AGCGAACGCUGGCGGCAGGCUUAACACAUGCAAGUCGAGCGGGCAUCCUUGUGGUGUCAGCGGCAGACGGGUGAGUAACGCGUGGGAACGUGCCCUUCGGUUCGGAGUAACUCAGGGAAACUUGAGCUAAUACCGGAUACGUGCGAGAGCAGAAAGGUUUAUCUGCCGAAGGAUCGGCCCGCGUCUGAUUAGCUAGUUGGUGAGGUUAUGGCUCACCAAGGCGACGAUCAGUAGCUGGUCUGAGAGGAUGAUCAGCCACACUGGGACUGAGACACGGCCCAGACUCCUACGGGAGGCAGCAGUGGGGAAUAUUGGACAAUGGGGGCAACCCUGAUCCAGCCAUGCCGCGUGAGUGAUGACGGCCUUAGGGUUGUAAAGCUCUUUUCUCCGGGACGAUAAUGACGGUACCGGAGGAAUAAGCCCCGGCUAACUUCGUG